Salvia miltiorrhiza (redroot sage) is the source of this 664-nucleotide long non-coding RNA. RefSeq lists it as uncharacterized. NCBI's taxonomy places the organism in Eukaryota, Viridiplantae, Streptophyta, Magnoliopsida, Lamiales, Lamiaceae. The record is from RefSeq and is a predicted model, not a curated record. The transcript is spliced from 2 exons.
CAAGGUCCAACACAAUUUAUUAUUGCUAAUCCCAUUGAUAUUAAUAGGCCCAAGUACCAGCUUAAACCCAAUUACUAGUUUGAGCCCAAUUAACUAUUUUCAGAUUCAAAUAAUUUAAAAUUAAUAACUUUCUUUAAAACAUAAAACAAGUUAAUCUCUCUCUGUUUUCUAUUUUUUCCCUACGCAGACAUCUCUCCCUCUCUUCGCUCCCUCUCUCGGCCGCCUCUCUCUCCCCCCUUCUCCGGCGAGCGUCGCCGGCUCGCGCCGCUUCCGGCACCGCGAGGCUGACGCAUCUUCUCCCCUUCCGCUUUCUUCCCUCUCCUUCCUACAUUUAAUUCCCAAAUUCUAAAAUCAAUUCAACCUAGGGUUUCUACCUCUCUUCAUCCCCUCUGGACUUCGUCUCUCCGGCGAAGCCUACCGCCCCGCCGUCGUCUCUGUCACGCCGCCGCCUCCUCUGUUCCAGGAAUCGAUGAUUCAAGGGAUCUCCAGUUCGUCUACUGCUCAAGAUCCAAUUUUUUAUAUGUUAUAAACCUAUUUUCCUUUAUUGCUUAUUGUAAAACUGAGAUUUUGAUGGUGAGGAAACAAUACUGUAUCGUUACUAUCACUAUGCUUAUGUGUAGCUAUGUCUUUUCUUUACAUAAAGAAUCUACUGUAUUGGAAGAAA